Molecule: non-coding RNA, 46 nt
Organism: Schistosoma mansoni
Lineage: Eukaryota; Metazoa; Platyhelminthes; Trematoda; Strigeidida; Schistosomatidae
Source: Rfam
GCGCUGCUGAAGAGUCCCACAACAGGACAAAACGGGCGUCCAGUGC